AUUGAACGCUGGCGGCAGGCUUAACACAUGCAAGUCGAGCGAGCGGCGGACGGGUGAGUAAUGUCUGGGAAACUGCCUGAUGGAGGGGGCUAACUACUGGAAACGGUAGCUAAUACCGCAUACCAUCAGAUGUGCCCAGGUGGGCUUAGCUAGUAGGGGGGGUAAUGGCUCACCUAGGCGACGAUCCCUAGCUGGUCUGAGAGGGUGACCGGCCACACUGGGACUGAGACACGGCCCAGACUCCUACGGGAGGCAGCAGUGGGGAAUAUUCGGCAAUGGGCGAAAGCCUGAUGCAGCCAUGCCGCGUGUGUGAAGAAGGCCUUCGGGUUGUAAAGCACUUUCGGCGGGGAGGCGUUACUUGAAGAAGAAGCACCGGCUAACUCCGUGCCAGCAGCCGCGGUAAUAC
RNAcentral lists this ribosomal RNA (406 nucleotides) under uncultured bacterium. Its description in RNAcentral is "partial 16S ribosomal RNA". It matches the Rfam family "Bacterial small subunit ribosomal RNA", at positions 29 to 526 of the family's 1533-position model. The record is from RNAcentral.